CCUCUAUUAUUUAUUCUGUAAAGUAUGGGAACUGAACCUCAAAAGAAGGUUUUUGUCAGUUUGACAAUGCAUAGUAAAAUAAUUGCCUUUUAAAUUCAUUCCUUAGAAGAAGCAAAAAGAAGAAAAGAAGUUCCAGAAAAGAAAGCUAUUCAUGAAGUUAAAACAAAAGGUACUACCUUAUUUUAAAAUGUGGCAGUUAAUUUACCCACUCUUCAGAGACCUCUGCCUAUUAUAAUUCCUAAAGAAAUAGAAAUAAAAAUAAUUUAUGGUUCGUGUCUUAGAAGCAGAAGAAAGAAAAAAGGUAACUCACAAGAAGAAAAUUAUUCCUGAAAUUAAAGGGAAAGCUUUGGAACAGGAAAAGAAGGUAACCCAAGAGAAGAAAGCUAUUUCUGAAACAAAAAUUAAAGGGGGAAAAGAAGAAAGAAAGAAAGCUCUUGAGAAAACAGCUGUCCCUGAAGUUAAAAAGGCAGAACCAGAAAAAGCUCCUGCAGCCCAUCCAGCUUCUGUGAAGGUAGCUGUGCGAGAACCAUUCAAGAAAGAAAAGCCAGUCGAAAGAGCCAAGCAGCCAGUGAAGGAUGUGCCUGUAAAAGCAUCAGUUACACAAGAAACUCAUAAACCAAAAGAAACAGAACUAACCAAAAUAGAACCUGCUGCCCAUUUGACUAAAAAAGCAGUACAUGAAAAGAAAGAAGACAGAUUAUUAAAGGCAGUGGAGCAAGACAAACCAAAAUCCAAAGAAACAAAAGAUAUCAGAGGGAAAGAAGCAAAACAUGUGGCACCAAAAGUCAAAGAUGUUGCAAAAGAAAAAGUGAAGUCUCCUACUACUGUGAAAGAAAAAGAGGCAGUAAAACCAAAGGAAGUAAAGCCUACCAUUCCCCAGAAGCAGAAAGGACAAGAGGUUCUUAAGCACGACAAAGGAGCUCCUCAAGGAAAGCCAGAAGAAAUCACAGUAGCAGAUAAGAAAAAAGCAGAAAAGCCUUUGAAGGAAAAAGACAGAAAAAUGGCAGCGGUGACUCAUUUGAAAGAAGAAAAAGCCAAGGUCCCAGCAGUAAAAGAAUCCCAUCACCAUCGUAACAUGACAACAGACAAGCUUUCAAAGGCUUCAAAAGCAACAGCUGCUGUCCGCUACUAUCAGUGUGUCUUUGUAAAUGGAUACAAUGACUACAAACCGCAACACCCUGUUACCCCUGCCCAGGACUACAAAGGAAAGGCCGGGCAGACAAAAAAUUCUGGGCACAAGAUCAAGACACUGAAACAAUAG
This 1261-nucleotide long non-coding RNA is filed under the name Pogona vitticeps (central bearded dragon). RNAcentral's name for it is "lncRNA (ENSPVIG00000023027.1)". The record is from RNAcentral. Lineage: Eukaryota; Metazoa; Chordata; Lepidosauria; Squamata; Agamidae.